This 1643-nucleotide long non-coding RNA is filed under the name Populus tremula. RNAcentral describes it as "long non-coding RNA (PTRE_LNC002191)". The record is from RNAcentral. Lineage: Eukaryota; Viridiplantae; Streptophyta; Magnoliopsida; Malpighiales; Salicaceae.
AAAUUUCAAUUAUCAAAAAGAAAAUAUUGUGUGACUUGUAUUCCUCAUCAUAUGAAUUAGAAAGACAAAUGAGAACAUUAUACAGAAUUCUGGAUAACAAAUAAAUCAAGAAACAAAUUCUUGAAAUUGGAGUUUCAGCCAUCAAUCGUCCACCAUGUCUUCUAUACAUGAGCCUAGAAGACAUCCCUUCUAGAGGACUUACACUUGUCUAGCAUCACCUAUCAUCAAUCAAGUAUAUUAUGUGGAUUCUCAGUGUUUUGCAGGAGUCAAACAAGAUACUUAAGUGCACUUGAAAAUUCUACCAUUUAUAGGAAUAUUAGCUGCAAAACGAGAAAGAAAAAGGCAAAACAACAUCCUUCAAGUACUUUAGUGAAGUGAUCAAAGUUCUAUAAUUUUCCCUCUAAUUAUAUGAGUUUAGACUACCUGAUAGCUCAUCCAGGGAUUAAGGCAGGCGCCACUCCAUCUGUCUCCUACCCUACAACGCAACACAAACUAAUUAUCAAACAUUGUUUAUCAGGUUAUCUUGAAACUUCCACAAAAUCAGCAAUACCACUACCAGGUACCGUCAUCCAGUUAAUCAAUUUACCUUCCUUUAUCAAACAUAAUGCACAUUAAUAAAACAAUAACCAAUUCUUUUACUUUGAAUGCACUAGAAUUCUGUAUUAAAGAGGGGGAUAAAGGAAGACAAGAAUUAGAUAAAUGCAGACUCACAUUAUAACAAGUAAAAGGUAAGACACGUAGAUAGUGAAAAGUGAAAAGGUAAAAUGGAUUUGUUUUGUGUAACAAAGGAUAUUGGCUCUCCAAUAUGUCAAAACUUUAUAUUCAACUAUUCAACGACAGGAGACGUUGUUCUAACAAAACAAAGGCAAAAAAAAAAAAACACACUCCAAUGAAGAUUGUUCAAUUGUUUUAACAGAAAAGUCCAAUCGAAAAGGCAAGUGGAUUUUCAUAUUGCUAAUCCCAUAAAGAAAUAAAAAAAAGAAAAAUAGAAGACACUCUCGGUUGUGAGCGAUGGUAAUGUUUUCUAACGUGAACCAAUAUAUGAGACCAGGAACUAGAUGCAUCGGUAAACAUUAAUACAGCACCAUUAGGCCUGAAAACUUAGUUCUGACUGCCGAAAAGGCCAAAAAGUUUCAGACUUUUCCAAUUCCCACAAGAAGAAACAGCUAUUUAUAGCCAAGAAAUGAUUGUUUCAGAUUAAGAUUCACAUAAAUCCCACGAAACAUGGAAAAACAAAAUGAGACAAUAACCAAGGCCAGCCAUAAAUCCAAAACAACUGGAGUAACAAGCAUAUAUCAUGAUAAACAUCUUAUAUAGAAAACUAAAACAGCACAAUGUCAUAAGAAGGGUGAAAAACAAUUUGAUAGCUGAAGAUACAAUGCCAUUUUAUUACCAAAGUAAAAUAAAUAAAUUAAGAAUUACCUCGACCAUGCCAGAACUUUCAAAGAAAUCAAUGCAAUGGAGCAGGAAUUAGAACUCCUAUGGUAGGUUUUUUUACUUUGUGAGAAAAUAAAGGCAGUGGAGAGUUGGGAGCUUCGCUAGGUUAAGUUUUGAGAGAGGCGGCGAUACUCCAUGUGGAGGGGUAUUUACAAGGAGAAGGAAACAAAAGAAACCCAGAUAGGAUAGCGGACACAAAAAAAGAG